CAACAAACUGUUUGCUGCAGUCGCCUCCUUCUGCUCCAAGUGCAUUACACACACUGUUUCACUGUCUGCUUCUCUCCGAUCCAAGACAUUUCUCGUUCCGUCUGUCUAAAUCUCUUAAUGAUCGGAGCGAAGCCG
Caenorhabditis elegans is the source of this 135-nucleotide non-coding RNA. Lineage: Eukaryota; Metazoa; Nematoda; Chromadorea; Rhabditida; Rhabditidae. The record is from Ensembl.